This 224-nucleotide long non-coding RNA is filed under the name Anas platyrhynchos (mallard). RNAcentral describes it as "lncRNA (ENSAPLG00020003254.1)". The record is from RNAcentral. Lineage: Eukaryota; Metazoa; Chordata; Aves; Anseriformes; Anatidae.
GUAAGCUGUUUUCAGCAUUGUUGAUGUGCAAGCUGCUCUAGUUUUGUUCCAACGCAAUAUAGGUGUGUCAUGUUGAGAUGCAAUAUGACCUGCUGCUAUUGCCAGAGCAUUCUGGACUGUGGAUCAUGAACAGACAGAGCUAUUUAACGUCAGUUUCACUCCUGAAGAAAGCUUUCAUGGAUUUCAGGUUCCCUCCUGUCCUCUCUGUUUUCUUUUGCCAGUGA